GCGAAAACUUUACAAUGCUGGCAACAGCGAUAAGGGAACCUCGAGUGCCAGGUUACAAAUCUGGCUGUCGAGAUGCCUAAAAAGCAUUUCAUAGCAAGGGCCGGGCAAGACCGGUGCCAGCCGCCGCGGUAACACCGGCGGCUCGAGUGGUAACCGUUAUUAUUGGGUCUAACGGGUCUGUAGCCGGCCGGAUAAGUCUCUUGAGAAAUCUGGCAGCUUAACUGUCAGGCUUUCAGGAGAUACUGUCUGGCUCGAGGCCGGGAGAGGUGAGAGGUACUUCUGGGGUAGGGGUGAAAUCUUGUAAUCCUUGAAGGACCACCAGUGGCGAAGGCGUCUCACCAGAACGGACCUGACGGCAAGGGACGAAAGCUAGGGGCACGAACC
This 384-nucleotide ribosomal RNA is filed under the name uncultured prokaryote. RNAcentral describes it as "bacterial SSU rRNA". It matches the Rfam family "Archaeal small subunit ribosomal RNA", at positions 341 to 725 of the family's 1478-position model. The record is from RNAcentral.